CUCCCGCGGCGGGCCGGGUCUCCAGGGAGGACCUGAGUUUUUCUUCACCCAUGGUCAGGGAGGCGCCAUCGCCCUGGCUUUGGGGCUGGGGCCUCCGGGGAGGUUCCGGUAGGGGCGUUGGAGAGGCCGCUCUUUUUGCAAGGCCCGAGAUGGCGGGCCCUGCGCAGGCCGCCCUAUUCCGCGCCCUCAGGGCGUCAGUAUCCGCCUGAGGCCGGAUACCCACUCUGGGCUCGGAUACCCGCGCUGGGCCCGGAGCAUCCUCGGCGCUGCCCUCCCAGAGCCCCGCAGAGGCUGAGGUGGCGCGGGGGCGGCCCCGGCUCCGCGAGAAGAGGCGGCAGCGAGGGCUGGAGGACCCGGGCUACGGGGCUCCGGGGCGUCUGGCCUGGGUGGGACUGAGCCCAUCCAGGGACUGGGACUCCGGGGUUCUGGUGUAGGUGGAUCCCGGGCAGGCUCAGGACCAAGACCCUCUCCUUCCACCAAGGAGCGCCCAGAGGCCGGCGGGAGCUCCAGGUUCACCUCCUCCUCCUCCAGGAAAUCCCACUUCCAGCUGGAUGUCUGGAUGAACUCCUGAAAGCUGCUGAGUGUCCUGCAGCAGGUGAGCUGUGGCCAGAGCCCAAGGAUGAAGGGGACUCCCUCACUCUGUGACUGUGAAGAGGAAGCCUGAGGUGUAGCAGGCCCAGGCCCCAGAAGUAUGGAAAAAAUGAGGCCAUUUCCAAUCCAGAGGAAGACCUUCUAGAAGAAGUGAUGGGUGGGAGAGUGCUGACAUACUAUGCAAAGCUACUAUUUGGAGUUGGACACGAGUGCAUGUGACCUUGUGCCACAGCGGGAAUGUGAGCUGGAUGACAAAUGGAGAUUUGGACUUGUGAUAAUUGGCCUCUGUGUCAUUGUGUGGAAGACUGACUGGUCCCUUUAUUUCCUGUAGCUUGACUACCACACAAAUUAAUCCACUCAAAUGUUGGCAAGUGGAGCAGAGUCCCAGGACAGUCUGCAAUCUCUACAGGUACAGAAACACCCCCAGUUCAAGGAUCUUCACACCUGGAUUUAGGCCUACACCUGCAACUACCCCAGGCCAGUUAUCCAGGCAGUGACUUUCUGUACAGCUACAGUCACCUCUGGACACCUGCGGAGACUUUAAAAAUUUCCAGAAGGUCAGGAAUUUUUGGAGACCUUUCUUAUGGCUACGUUGCCUGCAAAGGUGAAUCAAUAAGCUUCUGAACUGACUUAGAAAAUGUUGCAGAGACUCUUGUGAACAGAUAGACCCUCUCCUGCCACUCCAGAUAGACGUAUCCGGGUCACACACACCUGAUUUAACAACAUCUCAUUAUCUCAGGCACCAAUUUGAUCUUCUACUACUUUGCAGACAUCUCUUCUGCAAACACCAGACAAACUGAGACAAUGAACUUCCGCAGGACCCAAAGCACCUCUUACUGCAGGAAAGAAGAUCCAGUGAGAUAGUUAGUCCACAAAUGGAAUGUCAAUCCAUAAACACACUUAAGUAACAGAAUAAAUUUAGUAUGAGCGUUUUUAUGUGGGAGCUCUUGAAAUGGUUGCUGCUCAUAUGUCAGAGACAUAUGCAGUUUAAGAAAGGUAGCAGUUCCAAUCCUGGUUUGGCCCAACAGUCACUGCAUUUUUGGUGGGGAAAAGGGAUGUGGGAGGAGAUGGUACAUCUUCAUCUUUUUCUCUGGGUUUUCUGUCAGAAAGGGAUGUUGCUUACUCCAGUGGCAAAAAAUGCCAGUGUCUUCUGCCAGAGUGGGUUACUGAGGGCCAUGGUGGUUCCACCUUGUGGCUGAUACAGAUAGUCCCUUUCUGCUUUUGUUUCUAGCCAAAAAAGAUGUUUCUCGCAUCUCAGGUAUGCAGACUUCAGCAGCUGUUUUUUCUAUAUGGCUAUUUUUUUUUUCUUUCACUCUCUCUUUCUCUCUUUUUUUUUUGUUGGCUUCACUGUGUUGCCAUAGUUUCUUAAAUGGUCCCUUGAACCCUCCCAGAGCUAUUUUGGUUUGUACAUAACUAUCUAUAUAUUUUUUUCUUGGGGGGAGUGUGUAGAGCUAAAGGCUGGUAUAUCCUGCUCCUGCUCCCCGAAAGUGACGUUAUUCCCCCAAGCUAAUAUUUCAGGCUUUCAAUUUAUUCAUGCUUUCAUCUGUUUAAACAUAAGUAGAAAUUACUUUUUCUCUCCACAUUUAGAUUUGAUCUAUCUACUUUAAUUGCUAAUAGUGUCUUAGUCAUAGAAUAGAUUAGUUAGAAAAAAGUGUUUUUGACAUUAUAAAUGAUUCUUUCAAUUUGUGUCUAAAAGUGGAAAAUACUAGAAAGCUUAACAUUUAUUAUUGUAUUCAGACCAGUAUUUCCUCCAGAUGACCUUUAUUACAACAAAGAUAAUUUAAUGAAGAUCUCUCUAAUGGUAAAGCUGAUGGCUUUGUGCUAUUACAAUAUCCUUCAAAUAAAGUGACGAUCUGGUGGAAAGAACAACUAAAGCAAGGAUUAGGAAGAAAACAGUUAAUACCUUCAUUUUGGUCUCACUCUGCAUUAAGAGUUUUCAUUGUGUUAAGGAUUUAUUAUACAUUAAGUAAUUUAAUGUUCAUUUAAUAAUAAAUGGAUCCUAUUAAAUAUGAUUUUUAAAAUUAUAAUCACA
Long non-coding RNA from Homo sapiens (human), 2623 nucleotides. Ensembl annotates it as family with sequence similarity 66 member C. Its record names the gene FAM66C. The record is from Ensembl. Lineage: Eukaryota; Metazoa; Chordata; Mammalia; Primates; Hominidae.